RNAcentral lists this ribosomal RNA (406 nucleotides) under uncultured bacterium. RNAcentral describes it as "partial 16S ribosomal RNA". It matches the Rfam family "Bacterial small subunit ribosomal RNA", at positions 29 to 526 of the family's 1533-position model. The record is from RNAcentral.
AUUGAACGCUGGCGGCAGGCCUAACACAUGCAAGUCGAGCGAGCGGCGGACGGGUGAGUAAUGUCUGGGAAACUGUCUGAUGGAGGGGGCUAACUACUGGAAACGGUAGCUACUACCGCAUACAAUCAGAUGUGCCCAGAUGGGAUUAGCUAGUAGGUGGGGGAACGGCUCACCUAGGCGACGAUCCCUAGCUGGUCUGAGAGGAGGACCAGCCACACUGGAACGUAGACACGGUCAAGACUCCUACGUGAGGCAGCAGUGGGGAAUAUUGCACAAGGGGCGAAAGCCGUAUGCAACCAUGCCGAGUGUGGGAAGAAGGCCUUCGGGUUGUAAAGCACUUUCAGCGGGGAGGCGUUACCCGCAGAAGAAGCACCGGCUAACUCCGUGCCAGCAGCCGCGGUAAUAC